RNAcentral lists this non-coding RNA (193 nucleotides) under Clostridium saccharobutylicum. RNAcentral describes it as "6S RNA". It matches the Rfam family "6S / SsrS RNA". Rfam says of the family: E. coli 6S RNA was the first non coding RNA to be sequenced, but its function was unknown until recently. Lineage: Bacteria; Bacillati; Bacillota; Clostridia; Eubacteriales; Clostridiaceae. The record is from RNAcentral.
GAUUUCCUGAGAUGUACGCAAAGCUUAUCAUAUUCAACCUACAUGACAUUAUCGGGAUUUGCAACAUAUUCAGAAAUGUCGGGCUUCAUUUAAAUUACUUAUUGUAUCAGAAGAUGACAAGCAUGAGUUGAGCUUAACCCACCUGCGAGGCGCAGGUAUUGAAUAUAUAGGUGAACGGCAUAUUGGGAACUAU